UGCGUGAGGGGCGAACGUUGUUCGGUGUCACUGGGCUUAAAGGGUGCGUAGGUGGUUGCGUAAGUAAGGUGUGAAAUCCCUCGGCUUACCCGGGGAAUUGCAUUUUAUACUGCGUGGCUUGAGGACUAAAGGGGAAAAGGGAACCUCCAGGUGUAGCGGUGAAAUGCGCAGAUAUCUGGGGGAAGGCCGGCGGCGAAGGCGCUUUUCUGGUUAGUACCUGACACUGAGGCACGAAAGCGUGGGGAGCAAACAGG
This 254-nucleotide ribosomal RNA is filed under the name uncultured bacterium. RNAcentral describes it as "partial 16S ribosomal RNA". It matches the Rfam family "Bacterial small subunit ribosomal RNA", at positions 524 to 776 of the family's 1533-position model. The record is from RNAcentral.